UACAGAGGGUGCAAGCGUUGUUCGGAAUUACUGGGCGUAAAGCGCGUGUAGGCGGCGGCGUAAGUCGGAUGUGAAAUCCCUUGGCUUAACCAAGGAAGUGCAUCCGAUACUGCGUCGCUUGAGUGCCGGAGGGGAUGGUGGAAUUCCCGGUGUAGAGGUGAAAUUCGUAGAUAUCGGGAGGAACACCUGUGGCGAAGGCGGCCAUCUGGACGGUAACUGACGCUGAGACGCGAAAGCGUGGGUAGCAAACAGG
This 253-nucleotide ribosomal RNA is filed under the name uncultured bacterium. RNAcentral describes it as "partial 16S ribosomal RNA". It matches the Rfam family "Bacterial small subunit ribosomal RNA", at positions 524 to 776 of the family's 1533-position model. The record is from RNAcentral.